AGGUCGCUGAUAUGCUCCACCCAGCGGGAGAAACGUGCAUGAUCGUCGAGUUCGGCAGGUAGUUGAUCGGUCGAGAAAACGACUUUGCUCAUUCCAGCUUUGCGCCCCUUCGCGAACUUCCUGAAAUACGCAAUCGAUAUAACGCGCAAGCAUAACGGAUUGAUGGAGAAAAUCGAAAACCGGCCCGCCUGUCUGCCGGCAU
RNAcentral lists this unclassified non-coding RNA (202 nucleotides) under Hevea brasiliensis (rubber tree). The record is from RNAcentral. Lineage: Eukaryota; Viridiplantae; Streptophyta; Magnoliopsida; Malpighiales; Euphorbiaceae.